RNAcentral lists this ribosomal RNA (427 nucleotides) under uncultured Pseudomonas sp. RNAcentral's name for it is "bacterial SSU rRNA". It matches the Rfam family "Bacterial small subunit ribosomal RNA", at positions 355 to 774 of the family's 1533-position model. Lineage: Bacteria; Pseudomonadati; Pseudomonadota; Gammaproteobacteria; Pseudomonadales; Pseudomonadaceae. The record is from RNAcentral.
UGGGGAAUAUUGGACAAUGGGCGAAAGCCUGAUCCAGCCAUGCCGCGUGUGUGAAGAAGGUCUUCGGAUUGUAAAGCACUUUAAGUUGGGAGGAAGGGUUGUAGAUUAAUACUCUGCAAUUUUGACGUUACCGACAGAAUAAGCACCGGCUAACUCUGUGCCAGCAGCCGCGGUAAUACAGAGGGUGCAAGCGUUAAUCGGAAUUACUGGGCGUAAAGCGCGCGUAGGUGGUUUGUUAAGUUGGAUGUGAAAUCCCCGGGCUCAACCUGGGAACUGCAUCCAAAACUGGCAAGCUAGAGUAUGGUAGAGGGUGGUGGAAUUUCCUGUGUAGCGGUGAAAUGCGUAGAUAUAGGAAGGAACACCAGCGGCGAAGGCGACCACCUGGACUGAUACUGACACUGAGGUGCGAAAGCGUGGGGAGCAAACA